RNAcentral lists this ribosomal RNA (301 nucleotides) under uncultured bacterium. RNAcentral describes it as "partial 16S ribosomal RNA". It matches the Rfam family "Bacterial small subunit ribosomal RNA", at positions 509 to 807 of the family's 1533-position model. The record is from RNAcentral.
CAGCAGCCGCGGGAAUACGUAGGGUGCAAGCGUUAAUCGGAAUUACUGGGCGUAAAGCGCACGCAGGCGGUCUGUCAAGUCAGAUGUGAAAUCCCCGGGCUUAACCUGGGAACUGCAUUUGAAGCUGGCAGGCUAGAGUCUUGUAGAGGGGGGUAGAAUUCCAGGUGUAGCGGUGAAAUGCGUAGAGAUCUGGAGGAAUACCGGUGGCGAAGGCGGCCCCCUGGACAAAGACUGACGCUCAGGUGCGAAAGCGUGGGGAGCAAACAGGAUUAGAUACCCCAGUAGUCCCUGUCUCUUAUAC